RNAcentral lists this ribosomal RNA (453 nucleotides) under uncultured spirochete Nn405. RNAcentral's name for it is "bacterial SSU rRNA". It matches the Rfam family "Bacterial small subunit ribosomal RNA", at positions 1084 to 1533 of the family's 1533-position model. Lineage: Bacteria; Pseudomonadati; Spirochaetota; Spirochaetia; Spirochaetales. The record is from RNAcentral.
GUCCCGCAACGAGCGCAACCCCUACUGCCAGUUGCCAGCAGGUCGUGCUGGGGACUCUGGCGGAACUGCCGGCGACAAGCCGGAGGAAGGCGGGGAUGACGUCAAGUCAUCAUGGCCCUUAUGUCCAGGGCUACACACGUGCUACAAUGGUCUGCACAAAGCGAAGCGAGUCCGAGAGGGCGCAGCGAACCGCCGAAAGCAGGCCGUAGUCCGGAUUGAAGUCUGAAACCCGACUUCAUGAAGCUGGAAUCGCUAGUAAUCGCGCAUCAGCAUGGCGCGGUGAAUACGUUCCCGGGCCUUGUACACACCGCCCGUCGCACCAUCCGAGUUGGGGGCACCCGAAGCCGGCAGUCUAACCGCAAGGGGGACGCUGUCGAAGGUGCGCCGGGCGAGGAGGGUGAAGUCGUAACAAGGUAGCCGUACUGGAAAGUGCGGCUGGAUCACCUCCUUUCU